GACAAACGUUGGCGGUGCGUCUUAGACAUGCAAGUCGAGCGUGAAAGCCCGCAAGGGUGAGUAAAGCGGCGAACGGGUGAGUAAUACUUGGGUAACAUCCCUCCAAGAUUGGGAUAACGCGCCGAAAGGCGUGCUAAUACCGGAUGAGACCACGAUUCCCUCGGGGAUUGGGGUUAAAGAUGGCCUCUAUUUAUAAGCUAUCACUUGGAGAUUGGCUCAAGCACCAUUAGCUAGUUGGCGGGGUAAUGGCCCACCAAGGCUACGAUGGUU
RNAcentral lists this ribosomal RNA (270 nucleotides) under uncultured bacterium. RNAcentral's name for it is "partial 16S ribosomal RNA". It matches the Rfam family "Bacterial small subunit ribosomal RNA", at positions 28 to 284 of the family's 1533-position model. The record is from RNAcentral.